Molecule: ribosomal RNA, 951 nt
Filed under: human gut metagenome
Description: bacterial SSU rRNA
Rfam family: Bacterial small subunit ribosomal RNA
Source: RNAcentral
AGAGUUUGAUUCUGGCUCAGAACGAACGCUGGCGGCGUGGAUAAGACAUGCAAGUCGAACGAGAGAAUUGCUAGCUUGCUAAUAAUUCUCUAGUGGCGCACGGGUGAGUAACACGUGAGUAACCUGCCCCCGAGAGCGGGAUAGCCCUGGGAAACUGGGAUUAAUACCGCAUAGUAUCGAAAGAUUAAAGCAGCAAUGCGCUUGGGGAUGGGCUCGCGGCCUAUUAGUUAGUUGGUGAGGUAACGGCUCACCAAGGCGAUGACGGGUAGCCGGUCUGAGAGGAUGUCCGGCCACACUGGAACUGAGACACGGUCCAGACACCUACGGGUGGCAGCAGUCGAGAAUCAUUCACAAUGGGGGAAACCCUGAUGGUGCGACGCCGCGUGGGGGAAUGAAGGUCUUCGGAUUGUAAACCCCUGUCAUGUGGGAGCAAAUUAAAAAGAUAGUACCACAAGAGGAAGAGACGGCUAACUCUGUGCCAGCAGCCGCGGUAAUACAGAGGUCUCAAGCGUUGUUCGGAAUCACUGGGCGUAAAGCGUGCGUAGGCUGUUUCGUAAGUCGUGUGUGAAAGGCGCGGGCUCAACCCGCGGACGGCACAUGAUACUGCGAGACUAGAGUAAUGGAGGGGGAACCGGAAUUCUCGGUGUAGCAGUGAAAUGCGUAGAUAUCGAGAGGAACACUCGUGGCGAAGGCGGGUUCCUGGACAUUAACUGACGCUGAGGCACGAAGGCCAGGGGAGCGAAAGGGAUUAGAUACCCCUGUAGUCCUGGCAGUAAACGGUGCACGCUUGGUGUGCGGGGAAUCGACCCCCUGCGUGCCGGAGCUAACGCGUUAAGCGUGCCGCCUGGGGAGUACGGUCGCAAGAUUAAAACUCAAAGAAAUUGACGGGGACCCGCACAAGCGGUGGAGUAUGUGGCUUAAUUCGAUGCAACGCGAAGAACCUUACCUGGG